Molecule: ribosomal RNA, 301 nt
Filed under: uncultured bacterium
Lineage: Bacteria
Description: partial 16S ribosomal RNA
Rfam family: Bacterial small subunit ribosomal RNA
Source: RNAcentral
CAGUAGCCGCGGUAAUGCGUAGGGUGCGAGCGUUAAUCGGAAUUACUGGGCGUAAAGCGUGCGCAGGCGGUUGUGUAAGACAGGUGUGAAAUCCCCGGGCUUAACCUGGGAACUGCGCUUGUGACUGCACAGCUAGAGUAUGGCAGAGGGGGGUGGAAUUCCACGUGUAGCAGUGAAAUGCGUAGAGAUGUGGAGGAACACCGAUGGCGAAGGCAGCCCCCUGGGCCAAUACUGACGCUCAUGCACGAAAGCGUGGGGAGCAAACAGGAUUAGAUACCCGAGUAGUCCCUGUCUCUUAUAC